This 202-nucleotide long non-coding RNA is filed under the name Panax ginseng (ginseng). RNAcentral's name for it is "long non-coding RNA (PGIN_LNC019125)". Lineage: Eukaryota; Viridiplantae; Streptophyta; Magnoliopsida; Apiales; Araliaceae. The record is from RNAcentral.
UGAAUUUAAAAUUAUUACCAUGGUGGAAAAUAUUUUUCUUCCAAAAUUGCUUCGACAAAAUGACUCACGGUCCGAAUCUACUUUUCAUAAAUAUAUUCAUUGCAAGGUCAAAGGUGUUUAAACUUGUUCUCAGUAAAGAUGGCGAUUUUAAUAUAGUUUCACCCAAACUUGUGAAAUAAUUAAACCUCCAUUCCAAAUCAAU